AUGGAGAGGAUGGCUAGCUCCUACUUUAAGGAGAUUUUCACUAAAGAUCCUACCCUGGAUCCGCGUGAGGUGCUGGAUACGAUUGUUCCUAUGGUGUCUGCGGAGAUGAAUGACUCCUUGUGCAAGCCAUACUCGGAUGAGGAGAUUUCAAAUGUCCUUUUUCAGAUCGGGCCCCUGAAAGCUCCGGGCUGCGAUGGCUUCCCGGCUAGGUUUUAUCAAAGGAAUUGUGCUGUUUUGAAAGUGGAAAUAGUGGCUGCAGUGCAAGAGUUUUUUAUUACUGGCAUCAUGCUAGAUGGUGUUAAUGACACGACGAUUGUGUUAAUUCCAAAAGUGCCCCACCCUAAGGAACUAAAAGAUUUCCGCCCCAUUAGUCUGUGUGAUGUGGUGUAUAAGAUCGUGUCUAAAUGCAAGGUGAACAGGCUUUGGUCGCUCCUAUCUGAGCUUAUCUCUGAAAAUCAGAGUGCAUUCAUUCCAGGGAGGUUGAGCUCAGACAAUUCCAUUAUUGCCUUCGAGUGCAUUCAUCAUAUUCAGUCAGUCAAGGAGAAUUCACCAGCUUUGUGUGCAUACAAACUUGAUCUGUCGAAGGCGUAUGACCGCGUUGAUUGGUUCUUCUUGGAAAGGGCGCUCUCUAAAUGGGGCUUCUCUGAUCAGUGGAUCUCUCGCGUUAUGGCAUGUAUCUCAUCAGUGAAGUAUUCUGUUAAAUUUAAUGGCAAACUAUUGGAGUCCUUCUCUCCCUCGAGAGGUCUACGCCAAGGUGAUCCAUUAUCCCCCUUCCUUUUCCUCUUUGUGGCUGACGCUCUGUCUAUCCUUCUGAACAAGUCGAUGAACAAGGAAGGUAUACAAGGGGUCACAAUCUAUAGAGGGGCCCGGUCAUCUCACAUCUUUUAUUUGCGGAUGAUUCCCUCCUGUUUUUCCAUGCCUCAGAGCCGCGGGCUCUCUUGGUUAAAGGUGUGUUGA
RNAcentral lists this ribosomal RNA (957 nucleotides) under Triticum aestivum (bread wheat). RNAcentral's name for it is "partial small subunit ribosomal RNA". The record is from RNAcentral. Lineage: Eukaryota; Viridiplantae; Streptophyta; Magnoliopsida; Poales; Poaceae.